RNAcentral lists this transfer RNA (72 nucleotides) under Ictidomys tridecemlineatus (thirteen-lined ground squirrel). RNAcentral describes it as "Spermophilus tridecemlineatus (thirteen-lined ground squirrel) tRNA". It matches the Rfam family "tRNA". From Rfam's summary of the family: Transfer RNA (tRNA) molecules are approximately 80 nucleotides in length. Their secondary structure includes four short double-helical elements and three loops (D, anti-codon, and T loops). Further hydrogen bonds mediate the characteristic L-shaped molecular structure. tRNAs have two regions of fundamental functional importance: the anti-codon, which is responsible for specific mRNA codon recognition, and the 3' end, to which the tRNAs corresponding amino acid is attached (by aminoacyl-tRNA synthetases). tRNAs cope with the degeneracy of the genetic code in two manners: having more than one tRNA (with a specific anti-codon) for a particular amino acid; and 'wobble' base-pairing, i.e. permitting non-standard base-pairing at the 3rd anti-codon position. Lineage: Eukaryota; Metazoa; Chordata; Mammalia; Rodentia; Sciuridae. The record is from Rfam by way of RNAcentral.
UGGGAUGUAACUCAGUGGUAGAGUAAAUGCUUACCACGCAUGAAGCUCUGAGUUCAAUCCUCAGAACCCCCC